UCAAGUAAUUAAGUGCAUGUGGUGGAUGCCUUGGCAGUCAGAGGCGAUGAAAGACGUGAUAGCCUGCGAAAAGCUCCGGGGAGGCGGCAAAUAUCCUUUGAUCCGGAGAUGUCUGAAUGGGGGAACCCACCUACUUUAAGGUAGGUAUUGCAACAUGAAUACAUAGUGUUGCAAGGCGAACGAGGGGAAGUGAAACAUCUCAGUACCCUUAGGAAAAGAAAUCAAUUGAGAUUCCCUCAGUAGCGGCGAGCGAACGGGGAUCAGCCCAUUAAGUUAUGUGUGUUUUAGUGGAACGCUCUGGGAAGUGCGAACGUAGAGGGUGAUAUUCCCGUACACGAAAGGGCACACAUAAUGAUGACGAGUAGGGCGAGGCACGUGAAACCUUGUCUGAAUAUGGGGGGACCAUCCUCCAAGGCUAAAUACUCCUGACUGACCGAUAGUGAACCAGUACCGUGAGGGAAAGGCGAAAAGAACCCCUGUGAGGGGAGUGAAAUAGAUCCUGAAACCGCAUGCAUACAAGCAGUGGGAGCACCUUCGUGGUGUGACUGCGUACCUUUUGUAUAAUGGGUCAGCGACUUAUAUUCAGUAGCGAGGUUAACCGUAUAGGGGAGCCGUAGAGAAAUCGAGUCUUAAUAGGGCGUUUAGUUGCUGGGUAUAGACCCGAAACCAGGCGAUCUAUCCAUGAGCAGGUUGAAGGUUGGGUAACACUAACUGGAGGACCGAACCCACUGUCGUUGAAAAGCCAGGGGAUGACUUGUGGAUAGGGGUGAAAGGCUAAUCAAGCCUGGUGAUAGCUGGUUCUCCCCGAAAGCUAUUUAGGUAGCGCCUCGGACGAAUACCAUAGGGGGUAGAGCACUGUUUCGGCUAGGGGGUCAUCCCGACUUACCAAACCGAUGCAAACUCCGAAUACCUAUGAGUACUAUCCGGGAGACAGACUGCGGGUGCUAACGUCCGUAGUCAAGAGGAAAACAAUCCAGACCGCCAGCUAAGGCCCCAAAAUCAUAGUUAAGUGGGAAACGAUGUGGGAAGGCAUAGACAGCUAGGAGGUUGGCUUAGAAGCAGCCACCCUUUAAAGAAAGCGUAAUAGCUCACUAGUCGAGUCGGCCUGCGCGGAAGAUGUAACGGGGCUAAAACUAUGUGCCGAAGCUGCGGAUGUAUACUUUGUAUACGUGGUAGGGGAGCGUUCUGUAAGCCGAUGAAGGUGUGUUGAGAAGCAUGCUGGAGGUAUCAGAAGUGCGAAUGCUGACGUGAGUAACGACAAAACGGGUGAAAAACCCGUUCGCCGAAAGACCAAGGGUUCCAGUCCAACGUUAAUCGGGGCUGGGUGAGUCGACCCCUAAGGCGAGGCCGAAAGGCGUAGUCGAUGGGAAAAUGGUUAAUAUUCCAUUACUUCUGUGUAAUGCGAUGAGAGGACGGAGAAGGCUAAAUCAGCCUGGCGUUGGUUGUCCAGGUGAAAGGAUGUAGGCAUGUAUCUUAGGCAAAUCCGGGGUACUCUAUGCUGAGAUCUGAUAGCAAGCUGUACUUGUACAGCGAAGUGGUUGAUGCCAUGCUUCCAGGAAAAGUCUCUAAGCUUCAGUUACACAGGAAUCGUACCCGAAACCGACACAGGUGGUCAGGUCGAGUAGACCAAGGCGCUUGAGAGAACUCUGCUGAAGGAACUAGGCAAAAUGGUACCGUAACUUCGGGAGAAGGUACGCUGUUGUUGGUGAUGGAACUCGCUUCCUGAGCUGACGACAGCCGCAGAAACCAGGCCGCUGCAACUGUUUAUUAAAAACAUAGCACUCUGCAAACACGAAAGUGGACGUAUAGGGUGUGAUGCCUGCCCGGUGCUGGAAGGUUAAUUGAUGGGGUUAGCGUAAGCGAAGCUCUUGAUCGAAGCCCCAGUAAACGGCGGCCGUAACUAUAACGGUCCUAAGGUAGCGAAAUUCCUUGUCGGGUAAGUUCCGACCUGCACGAAUGGCAUAAUGAUGGCGGCGCUGUCUCCAGCAGAGGCUCAGUGAAAUCGAAAUCGCUGUGAAGAUGCAGUGUACCCGCGGCUAGACGGAAAGACCCCGUGAACCUUUACUGCAGCUUGACACUGAACUUUGACCUUACUUGUGUAGGAUAGGUGGGAGGCUUUGAAGCUGGAACGCUAGUUCCAGUGGAGCCGUCCUUGAAAUACCACCCUGGUAAUGUUGAGGUUCUAACUCUGUCCCGUGAUCCGGGACGAGGACCGUGUCUGGUGGGUAGUUUGACUGGGGCGGUCUCCUCCUAAAGAGUAACGGAGGAGUACGAAGGUGCGCUCAGCGUGGUCGGAAAUCACGCGUAGAGUAUAAAGGCAAAAGCGCGCUUAACUGCGAGACCCACAAGUCGAGCAGGUACGAAAGUAGGUCUUAGUGAUCCGGUGGUUCUGUAUGGAAGGGCCAUCGCUCAACGGAUAAAAGGUACUCUGGGGAUAACAGGCUGAUACCGCCCAAGAGUUCAUAUCGACGGCGGUGUUUGGCACCUCGAUGUCGGCUCAUCUCAUCCUGGGGCUGAAGCAGGUCCCAAGGGUAUGGCUGUUCGCCAUUUAAAGAGGUACGCGAGCUGGGUUUAGAACGUCGUGAGACAGUUCGGUCCCUAUCUACCGUGGGCGCUGGAAAUUUGAGAGGAUCUGCUCCUAGUACGAGAGGACCAGAGUGGACGAACCUCUGGUGUACCGUUUGUGACGCCAGUCGCAUCGCCGGGUAGCUAUGUUCGGAAGGGAUAACCGCUGAAAGCAUCUAAGCGGGAAGCCUACCUCAAGAUAAGAUUUCCCUAGGACUUUAUGUCCUCUAAAGAGCCGUUCGAGACUAGGACGUUGAUAGGUUGGAUGUGGAAGCAUAGUGAUAUGUGAAGCUGACCAAUACUAAUUGCUCGUGAGGCUUGACUAU
RNAcentral lists this ribosomal RNA (2891 nucleotides) under Acinetobacter baumannii 25569_5. RNAcentral describes it as "bacterial LSU rRNA". It matches the Rfam family "Bacterial large subunit ribosomal RNA". The record is from RNAcentral. Lineage: Bacteria; Pseudomonadati; Pseudomonadota; Gammaproteobacteria; Moraxellales; Moraxellaceae.